Molecule: transfer-messenger RNA, 354 nt
Filed under: Syntrophobacteraceae
Lineage: Bacteria; Pseudomonadati; Thermodesulfobacteriota; Syntrophobacteria; Syntrophobacterales
Also listed under: 1 other name
Description: JABUEY01 sp013314815 Standard tmRNA
Rfam family: transfer-messenger RNA
About the family: Bacterial tmRNA, also known as 10Sa RNA or SsrA, is named for its dual tRNA and mRNA-like properties. Its role is to liberate the mRNA from a stalled ribosome.
Source: RNAcentral
GGGGGCGAAAUGGGUUCGACGGAGGUAAAGAAGCUUAAGUAGCAUGCCGAGGUCCUGGCUCCUCGUUAAACCGUUGGGACUUAAAACAAACGCAGACGAUUAUUCGUAUGCCGUAGCCGCUUAGGCGGCUGCCGUCCCUGUGGAUCAUUCCCGCGGGUCCUUCAGGGGCGUCGACUCAGCGGGAUGGUUUCCGGUGUGUCGCCUGCAGCUCCGGAAACGAGACUUUGCAGACUAGCCGGCGUGACAUCCUGCCCGUGGGAGGUUGCUCCGGCGAAUACCAGAAUACGGGAUAAGCAUGUAGAGACUUGAGUGGAAUGCUUUCGGACGCGGGUUCAAUUCCCGCCGCCUCCACCA